AAAAGAAUUGCACUUUGCAAAGAGAUGGUGAUAAGUUCAUAAUGCCAUUAACAUGUUACACUUUGUCAUUAUCAGAAUGGAAAAAGUUUUGUGAAUGGUUGAAAUCAAUUAAGUUACCUAAUAAUGACGCCUCUAACUUGUCUCGAUGUGUAAAUGUUGAUGAUUGUAGAUUAUCGGGAAUGAAAGUCAUGACUAUCAUGUAUUUCUACAACGAUUACUUCUAGCUGCAACCCAUGGUUAUUUGAGGAAGGAUAUUUAUAUUGUAUUGUCUAAAUUGAGUUCUUUCUUCAGAGACUUAUGUUCAAAGACAAUAGAAAGGGCUACAUUGCAUAAGUUACAAAAUGGCAUAGUUCUAAUAUUUUGUAAACUUGAAACCAUAUAUCCACCAUCAUUUUUUGUGAUUGUGAUACAUUUUGCGAUUAACCUUCCACGUGAAGUAGAACUCGAUGGCCCAGUUCAUUAUCGAUGGAUGUAUUUCAUUAAAAGGUAACUUGAAGCUUUUUGCA
RNAcentral lists this unclassified non-coding RNA (506 nucleotides) under Hevea brasiliensis (rubber tree). The record is from RNAcentral. Lineage: Eukaryota; Viridiplantae; Streptophyta; Magnoliopsida; Malpighiales; Euphorbiaceae.